Molecule: ribosomal RNA, 405 nt
Filed under: uncultured bacterium
Lineage: Bacteria
Description: bacterial SSU rRNA
Rfam family: Bacterial small subunit ribosomal RNA
Source: RNAcentral
GGGGAAUAUUGCGCAAUGGGCGAAAGCCUGACGCAGCAACGCCGCGUGAGGGAUGAAGUACGUCGAGAUGUAAACCUCUUUCAGCAGGGACGAAGCGAAAGUGACGGUACCUGCAGAAGAAGCGCCGGCUAACUACGUGCCAGCAGCCGCGGUAAUACGUAGGGCGCAAGCGUUGUCCGGAUUUAUUGGGCGUAAAGGGCUCGUAGGCGGUCUGUCACGUCGGAUGUGAAAACUCAGUGCUUAACACUGGGCCUGCAUUCGAUACGGGCAGACUAGAGUUCGGUAGGGGAGACUGGAACUCCUGGUGUAGCGGUGGAAUGCGCAGAUAUCAGGAAGAACACCGAUGGCGAAGGCAGGUCUCUGGGCCGAUACUGACGCUGAGGAGCGAAAGCGUGGGGAGCGAAC